This 71-nucleotide transfer RNA is filed under the name Ips calligraphus. RNAcentral describes it as "tRNA-Lys". It matches the Rfam family "tRNA". From Rfam's summary of the family: Transfer RNA (tRNA) molecules are approximately 80 nucleotides in length. Their secondary structure includes four short double-helical elements and three loops (D, anti-codon, and T loops). Lineage: Eukaryota; Metazoa; Arthropoda; Insecta; Coleoptera; Curculionidae. The record is from RNAcentral.
CAUUAAAUAGCUUAAAGCAAGCACUGGUCUCUUAAACCAAACUAUAAUAGAUUAGCACCUAUUUUUAAUGG